CACGUAGGGGACGAGCGUUGUCCGGAUUCAUUGGGCGUAAAGCGCGCGUAGGCGGCUCGGAAAGUCGGUCGUGAAAUGCCGGGGCUCAACCCCGGGACUGCGUCCGAUACUUCCGGGCUGGAGGUAGGUAGGGGAGAUCGGAAUUCCUGGUGUAGCGGUGAAAUGCGCAGAUAUCAGGAGGAACACCGGUGGCGAAGGCGGAUCUCUGGGCCUGUUCUGACGCUGAGGCGCGAAAGCUAGGGGAGCGAACAGG
RNAcentral lists this ribosomal RNA (253 nucleotides) under uncultured bacterium. RNAcentral describes it as "partial 16S ribosomal RNA". It matches the Rfam family "Bacterial small subunit ribosomal RNA", at positions 524 to 776 of the family's 1533-position model. The record is from RNAcentral.